UACGUAGGGUGCAAGCGUUAAUCGGAAUUACUGGGCGUAAAGCGUGCGCAGGCGGUUUUGUAAGUCUGUCGUGAAAUCCCCGGGCUCAACCUGGGAAUUGCGAUGGAGACUGCAAGGCUAGAAUCUGGCAGAGGGGGGGUAGAAUUCCACGUGUGAGCAGUGAAAUGCGUAGAGAUGUGGAGGAACACCGGAUGGCGAAGGCAGCCCC
RNAcentral lists this ribosomal RNA (208 nucleotides) under uncultured bacterium. Its description in RNAcentral is "partial 16S ribosomal RNA". It matches the Rfam family "Bacterial small subunit ribosomal RNA", at positions 524 to 728 of the family's 1533-position model. The record is from RNAcentral.